CCCGCUGAACUUAAGCAUAUCAAUAAGGGGAGGAACAGAAACUAACAAGGAUUCCCCUGGUAGCUGCGAAUGAAGCGGGAAAAGCUCAAGUUUGAAAUCUGGUGCGUCGCCCUUCAUACUAGUUGGCUGCUGAAGCUGUGACCUCCGCGUGGCACCGCCUAUUUCUUUGUAGCAGCAAGUCGUGGUAGAUGAUAACACUCCCUGCGAUCACAAACAUGUCCUCUUAUCUGCGCUGCCUUCUCGAAGCGUCUAGUUGGUUAAUACUGCUCCUCAUGAUGGGUGGAUCUCACCUUCUGCUGCUUACUGUAGACAAACCACCAAUAGACAACUAGAGCGAUCAGAAAAAGAUGAGCACUUCGUUGAGAGAAUAGUUCAACACGUCAUAUUGUUGCUAAGAAGACGCUUCUUGACGUCCGCCUCGUCUGCGACUCCUCCUCCUCGCUUCUUCUUGUACUUCUCGCAGGACGGAUCAGCCUCCAUCUUGCCCCACCGAUGAAGACGAGCGGUAUGAGUCACCUUUCCUCGUGUGUGAUAUACUCUAUGCGCGUGUACAGCUCGGGAGAGAGAAGCUCACCGCGCGCCUUUAGGCCUCGGGUUUCGCCCACGACACGUGCUUAGGAUGUUGGCAUAAUGGCUUUAAACGACCCGUCUUGAAACACGG
This 661-nucleotide ribosomal RNA is filed under the name uncultured fungus. RNAcentral describes it as "eukaryotic LSU rRNA". It matches the Rfam family "Eukaryotic large subunit ribosomal RNA", at positions 24 to 664 of the family's 3401-position model. The record is from RNAcentral. Lineage: Eukaryota; Fungi.